This 553-nucleotide ribosomal RNA is filed under the name Diplostomulum minutum. Its description in RNAcentral is "bacterial SSU rRNA". It matches the Rfam family "Eukaryotic small subunit ribosomal RNA", at positions 52 to 339 of the family's 1831-position model. The record is from RNAcentral. Lineage: Eukaryota; Metazoa; Platyhelminthes; Trematoda; Diplostomida; Diplostomidae.
GUGCAGCAAUUAGCUUGCAUGUCCUAGUACACACCUUGAAACGGUGAAACCGCGAAUGGCUCAUUACAUCAGCUAUGGUUCCUUAGAUCGUACAUGCUACAUGGAUAACUGUAAUAAUUCUAGAGCUAAUACAUGCCACUAUGCCCUGACCCGCAAGGGAACGGGUGGAUUUAUUAGAACAGAACCAACCUGGGAUGGCUUCGGUCGUUCCUGUUGCACUCUGUGAUGACUCUGGAUAACUUUACUGAUCGCAGUCGGCCUUGUGUCGGCGACGGAUCUUUCAAAUGUCUGCCCUAUCAACUUUCGAUGGUAGGUGAACCUGAAAAAGAUCAAUGGUCCUGUUGCAUGUUCGUGAUCGUAUGUUUGUCUGUGAACCUGCCGAAGGAUCAAACAACGUUUAGUUCUCUUAAUCUGUUUAUUGGUAUCGAUCGAUCAAGCUUGUCGGGGGUUUGGGGGGUAGGGUUCCCAACCCCCCUGGGUGAUCGGGGCUAUGGCUGAAUUUCUUUGAAUAUAAGGGGGGUUUGGAUUAUAAAUGAGAAUACAGGGACAAAAA